This 70-nucleotide transfer RNA is filed under the name Salmo salar (Atlantic salmon). It matches the Rfam family "tRNA". From Rfam's summary of the family: Transfer RNA (tRNA) molecules are approximately 80 nucleotides in length. Their secondary structure includes four short double-helical elements and three loops (D, anti-codon, and T loops). The record is from Rfam by way of RNAcentral. Lineage: Eukaryota; Metazoa; Chordata; Actinopteri; Salmoniformes; Salmonidae.
GUCCAGCUCAGUUGGUAGAGCAUGGCACUUGCAAUGCGAAGGUUGUGGGUUUGAUUUCCCACAGGGGACC